GAUGAGCGCUGGCGGCGUGCUUAACACAUGCAAGUCGAACGGAAAGGCUCCUGCUUGCAGGGGUACUCGAGUGGCGAACGGGUGAGUAACACGUGGGUGAUCUGCCCUGCACUUCGGGAUAAGCCUGGGAAACUGGGUCUAAUACCGGAUAGGACGAUGGUUUGGAUGCCAUUGUGGAAAGCUUUUUCGGUGUGAGAUGAGCUCGCGGCCUAUGAGCUUGGUGGUGGGGUAAUGGCCCACCAGGGCGGCGCCGGGUAGCCGGCCUGAGAGUGUGUACGGCCACAUUGGGACUGAGAUACGGCCCAGACUCCUACGGGAGGCAGCAGUGGGGAAUAUGGCACAAUGGGCGCAAGCCUGAUGCAGCGACGCCGCGUGGGGGAUGACGGCCUUCGGGUUGUAAACUCCUUUCGCUAGGGACGAAGCGCAAGUGACGGUACCUGGAGAAGAAGCACCGGCUAACUACGUG
Molecule: ribosomal RNA, 466 nt
Filed under: uncultured bacterium
Lineage: Bacteria
Description: partial 16S ribosomal RNA
Rfam family: Bacterial small subunit ribosomal RNA
Source: RNAcentral